GGCGGCAUGCCUUACACAUGCAAGUCGAACGGCAGCGCGGGAGCAAUCCUGGCGGCGAGUGGCGAACGGGUGAGUAAUAUAUCGGAACGUGCCCUAGAGUGGGGGAUAACGUAGCGAAAGUUACGCUAAUACCGCAUACGAUCUAAGGAUGAAAGUGGGGGAUCGCAAGACCUCAUGCUCAUGGAGCGGCCGAUAUCUGAUUAGCUAGUUGGUAGGGUAAAAGCCUACCAAGGCGACGAUCAGUAGCUGGUCUGAGAGGACGACCAGCCACACUGGGACUGAGACACGGCCCAGACUCCUACGGGAGGCAGCAGUGGGGAAUUUUGGACAAUGGGGGCAACCCUGAUCCAGCAAUGCCGCGUGAGUGAAGAAGGCCUUCGGGUUGUAAAGCUCUUUUGUCCGGGAAGAAACGGUCGUUUCUAAUAAAGGCGACUAAUGACGGUACCGGAAGAAUAAGCACCGGCUAACUACGUGCCAGCAGCCGCGGUAAUACGUAGGGUGCAAGCGUUAAUCGGAAUUACUGGGCGUAAAGCGUGCGCAGGCGGUUGUGCAAGACAGAUGUGAAAUCCCCGGGCUUAACCUGGGAAUUGCAUUUGUGA
Molecule: ribosomal RNA, 599 nt
Filed under: uncultured beta proteobacterium
Lineage: Bacteria; Pseudomonadati; Pseudomonadota; Betaproteobacteria
Description: bacterial SSU rRNA
Rfam family: Bacterial small subunit ribosomal RNA
Source: RNAcentral